RNAcentral lists this ribosomal RNA (360 nucleotides) under Martinezella tropici. Its description in RNAcentral is "bacterial SSU rRNA". It matches the Rfam family "Bacterial small subunit ribosomal RNA", at positions 99 to 494 of the family's 1533-position model. Lineage: Bacteria; Pseudomonadati; Pseudomonadota; Alphaproteobacteria; Hyphomicrobiales; Rhizobiaceae. The record is from RNAcentral.
CUUACGGGUGAGUAACGCGUGGGAAUCUACCCUUUUCUACGGAAUAACGCAGGGAAACUUGUGCUAAUACCGUAUGUGUCCUUCGGGAGAAAGAUUUAUCGGGAAAGGAUGAGCCCGCGUUGGAUUAGCUAGUUGGUGGGGUAAAGGCCUACCAAGGCGACGAUCCAUAGCUGGUCUGAGAGGAUGAUCAGCCACAUUGGGACUGAGACACGGCCCAAACUCCUACGGGAGGCAGCAGUGGGGAAUAUUGGACAAUGGGCGCAAGCCUGAUCCAGCCAUGCCGCGUGAGUGAUGAAGGCCCUAGGGUUGUAAAGCUCUUUCACCGGAGAAGAUAAUGACGGUAUCCGGAGAAGAANCCCC